UUGGGUGGUGCCAUCUCUCCUAUACCUCCAUGAAAUGGAUUGGGGUGGUGCCAUCUCUCCCAUACCUCCAUAGAGGGUGUCCAUGAAAUGGAUUGGCGUGGUGCCAUCUCUCCCAUACCUCCCAUGGAUGGUGUUCAUGAAAUGGAUUGGGGUGGUGCCAUCUCUCCCAUACCUCCAUGUAAUGGAUUGGGGUGGUGCCAUCUCUCCCAUACCUCCAUGGAGGGUUUCCAUGAAAUGGAUUAGGGGUGGUGCCAUCUCUCCCAUACCUCCAUGGAGGGUUUCCAUAAAAUGGAUUGGGGUGGUGCACUUUAUCUGCCGCCUUAGAGGCUGUGUAAGUUGGAUUUGCCCCUCCCGUGGUGGUUUGCUGAAGGUCCUUUGGAUCACUUUCCUGCUUAUGACGCCACAUCUAAAUAGUGAGAGUGGAAAUGUAUCAGGAUGAUGGUAUUGGGUGGGUGAUUGGUGUUGGUUUUGGAAAGUCCACAGCCCUUGGCAUGCACCGGUUUGGGUUGGUGGCCACGCCAUAGACCUGAGCAUGCCAGAACAGAUUGAUGGGGGGCAGCCAUUCACUGUUCACGUUUGACUUGGAUUGGUGGUGGGGGGGACGGGGGGCGGUGGUUUUUAUGUCUCUCUACUUUGAUGUGCAUUUAGCUUCACUUUCCGAAGCGCAGGUCCUCCUCACGUAUUGCGCUCUUUGAAGGCGGCAGUCACUUAAAUCCGCCACGAGACACAAUAUUUUCCGCGUUCAGUCAGCCGUGUCCUGAAGCCCAUUCAGGGUCUGCCAUUGUUUUGCCCAUAAAAGAACCCUCUUCCCUCGUCUCGCUCUCAGGCCCCGGCGGAUGAAUCUGAUAAAUCAUGACAGGUCUAAAAAUAAACUCAUCCGGUCCUUUUCAACAAAGUUCCACAUUCACUCCACGAAAAAAUGCCUUUCACAAGACCCCCUCCCCCCUUUCACAAGACCCCCCUCCCCCCCGGUGCCCAUCAGAGCCGGCCUUCUAUUUAAAGCUUCCUCUGUUUGUUUUUUUCUGUCCUUUUGAAUUGAAGAAAAAAAAAAAUACCCAAUUUUAAAAAUCGCUGGUGGCUGCGGAGGAAAGAUCGCCAACGCACAUUAGAUGGUUCAGUGUUCCCGUGCGUCUUUUUCUAGAAAUGUUUUUAUUUUCCAGAUAUAGAGCAAUAAAAUUGUCUGUGCUUCGAAUGUAAA
Long non-coding RNA from Rana temporaria (common frog), 1198 nucleotides. RefSeq lists it as uncharacterized. Lineage: Eukaryota; Metazoa; Chordata; Amphibia; Anura; Ranidae. The record is from RefSeq and is a predicted model, not a curated record. The transcript is spliced from 2 exons.